Molecule: unclassified non-coding RNA, 312 nt
Filed under: plant metagenome
Description: partial contains 5.8S ribosomal RNA, internal transcribed spacer 2, and large subunit ribosomal RNA
Rfam family: 5.8S ribosomal RNA (bases 1-105)
Source: RNAcentral
GAAAUGCGAUAAGUAAUGUGAAUUGCAGAAUUCCGCGAAUCAUCGAAUCUUUGAACGCACAUUGCGCCCUCUGGCAUUCCGGGGGGCAUGCCUGUCCGAGCGUCAUUACGCACCCUCAAGCCCGGCUUGUGUGAUGGGCCCCGGCGUCUCGUUCGCGAGACGGGCCCGAAAGGCAGCGGCGGCGUCGACCCGAUGAGCCCGAGCGUAUGGGGACUUCUGUCACACGUUCGCGGUGCGGACCGGCGCCUGCUUGACUUUUCUGAUUAUCCAGGUUGACCUCGGAUCAGGUAGGGAUACCCGCUGAACUUAAGC